CAUGCAAGUCGAACGGUAACAUUUCUAGCUUGCUAGAAGAUGACGAGUGGCGGACGGGUGAGUAAUACUUAUGAAUAUGCCUUUGUGUGGGGGAUAACUAUUGGAAACGAUAGCUAAUACCGCAUAACGUCUUCGGACCAAAGGGGGCUUCGGCUCCCGCGCAAAGAGUAGCCUAAGCGAGAUUAGCUUGUUGGUGAGGUAAAGGCUCACCAAGGCGACGAUCUCUAGCUGUUCUGAGAGGAAGAUCAGCCACACUGGAACUGAGACACGGUCCAGACUCCUACGGGAGGCAGCAGUGGGGAAUAUUGCACAAUGGGGGAAACCCUGAUGCAGCCAUGCCGCGUGUGUGAAGAAGGCCUUCGGGUUGUAAAGCACUUUCAGUUGUGAGGAAAGGUUAGUGGUUAAUACCCAUUAGCUGUGACGUUAGCAACAGAAGAAGGACCGGCUAACUCCGUGCCAGCAGCCGCGGUAAUACGGAGGGUCCGAGCGUUAAUCGGAAUUACUGGGCGUAAAGCGCACGCAGGCGGUUUGUUAAGCUAGAUGUGAAAGCCCUGGGCUCAACCUGGGAAUUGCAUUUAGAACUGGCAGGCUAGAGUUUUGGAGAGGGGAGUGGAAUUCCAGGUGUAGCGGUGAAAUGCGUAGAUAUCUGGAGGAACAUCAGUGGCGAAGGCGACUCCCUGGUCAGUAACUGACGCUCAUGUGCGAAAGUGUGGGUAGCGAACAGGAUUAGAUACCCUGGUAGUCCACACCGUAAACGCUGUCUACUAGCUGUUUGUGGAUUUAAUCCGUGAGUAGCGAAGCUAACGCGAUAAGUAGACCGCCUGGGGAGUACGGCCGCAAGGUUAAAACUCAAAUGAAUUGACGGGGGCCCGCACAAGCGGUGGAGCAUGUGGUUUAAUUCGAUGCAACGCGAAGAACCUUACCUACUCUUGACAUAC
RNAcentral lists this ribosomal RNA (938 nucleotides) under Glaciecola sp. Its description in RNAcentral is "bacterial SSU rRNA". It matches the Rfam family "Bacterial small subunit ribosomal RNA", at positions 54 to 989 of the family's 1533-position model. Lineage: Bacteria; Pseudomonadati; Pseudomonadota; Gammaproteobacteria; Alteromonadales; Alteromonadaceae. The record is from RNAcentral.